UACUAGCUGCCAGGUUAAGUAGCCAAUUCUAGCUGCCAAAAGACAAUCGAUAUGGCAGUAGUUAAGACGGCAACUGUGUUUUGGCUUGUAGUUUUCGUGGUGAUCUCUUCUUGCUCUCAGCAUGCACUAGCAAGUCGUUCUCAAGCCUCCAUACAAAAGGAUGCAGUAAUGCAACACUGUGAGGCUUACAUGAGGAGACGUUUUCCCAUGCCAUUCUUGCAACAUAACGACGCAUGCUGCCAAGUAGUGAGAGGAUCGCUUAACCUCCUAGCCGUUUGUAACCAGUUUACGGCCCAGGAAUUGGCGCGAAUCAGUCUGGCCAGAUGGGCUAAGGUUACAUAUGCGUGUGGUAAUGCAUUGCCUGAAGGGAGCGACUGUGCAGGUUACACUGUUCAUUAUGGAGAUGCACAUGGGCGCUCCAAGUGAAGGUUGAUUGGACAACAUAUUGUAUCUUCCUUUUACCGAUACAAGUAAUAAAACAGAAACAUAUACUCUUAAA
This is a long non-coding RNA of Lolium perenne, 499 nucleotides long. RefSeq lists it as uncharacterized. Lineage: Eukaryota; Viridiplantae; Streptophyta; Magnoliopsida; Poales; Poaceae. The record is from RefSeq and is a predicted model, not a curated record.